Molecule: transfer-messenger RNA, 352 nt
Filed under: Clostridiaceae
Lineage: Bacteria; Bacillati; Bacillota; Clostridia; Eubacteriales
Also listed under: 1 other name
Description: Clostridium_AG cavendishii Standard tmRNA
Rfam family: transfer-messenger RNA
About the family: Bacterial tmRNA, also known as 10Sa RNA or SsrA, is named for its dual tRNA and mRNA-like properties. Its role is to liberate the mRNA from a stalled ribosome.
Source: RNAcentral
GGGGGCGUUUUGGCUUCGACGGGGGUAAUGAUGGGUUUGGUAAGCGAGUCGAGGGAAGCAUGGCGCCUCGUAAAUAAAGUAUGCAUUAAAUGUAAACGCAGAAGAUAAUUUCGCGUUAGCAGCGUAGUCUGCUCGUCCUACCUUUGAGUCCCACGACUUAGGCUAGGGCGUCAAAAAGUGGGGAACCGAGCUAUACAAAGCUUUGAGUAUAGAACGGAAUAAAUGAAGCUACUGAAGAGUAAAGCCUGUCUAUGGGCGUUACUUGGAGGGAAUGUUAAAAUAUAGACUACACUCGUAGAAAGCUAAGCUGGUCUGCUUUCGGACAGGGGUUCGAUACCCCUCGCCUCCACCA